AUUCGAUGAGGUACUGGGUACCAACUUACUUCGGCUUGGCCGAUGAGACACUGGGUGUCAACUAUUGCUUCGAACUAUCCGAUGAGGCACUGGGUGCCAUUCUGGUGUGUUUGGUUGGAUCCGUGUAUCCGCCAAGGACCGAGUCUUGUUAAUAGGGGUAAAUAAUUGAAAUGAGAAAAUUGAAUAAAUGUGAUUGAUUGAGCUAUGGGAAGAAACGAUAAAGUGAAGUUGUGAAUUGAUGUGUGAAUUGGAAAUCGAAAUAAGAGAAUUAAAGAUAUGAACCCAAAGUUCAUGAUAUGAUAAAGAGUAAAUUUUGUUAUAUGAUAUUAG
RNAcentral lists this long non-coding RNA (330 nucleotides) under Gossypium barbadense (sea-island cotton). RNAcentral's name for it is "long non-coding RNA (GBAR_LNC015925)". Lineage: Eukaryota; Viridiplantae; Streptophyta; Magnoliopsida; Malvales; Malvaceae. The record is from RNAcentral.